UCUUCCAGUAGGACGAGCAGGAUGUGGUGUGCUUGCCCAGCAGUGUUGCCAGGGGUGGAGGAGAAAGGUUCCGCCUGCCUGCUCCAGGAGGCAUGCUGCAGGCAACUUGCAGGCCAUGUGUCGCAUCGAUCCUCAGGACCCCAUUCCAAUAGGUGAAGCAAGUCUCAAUGCUUUGGCCCUUGCCCUCAUUUUCGGCUUCUCCAUGAGGGGUGGUGGAGGACCCCACCGAAGGCCAU
Molecule: long non-coding RNA, 236 nt
Filed under: Homo sapiens (human)
Lineage: Eukaryota; Metazoa; Chordata; Mammalia; Primates; Hominidae
Description: HSALNT0154253
Source: RNAcentral